UACGUAGGGUGCAAGCGUUAAUCGGAAUUACUGGGCGUAAAGCGUGCGCAGGCGGUUUUGUAAGUCAGACGUGAAAUCCCCGGGCUCAACCUGGGAAUGGCAUUUGGGACUGCAAGGCUCGAGUGCGGCAGAGGAGACUGGAAUUCCUGGUGUAGCAGUGAAAUGCGUAGAUAUCAGGAGGAAUACCGAUGGCGAAGGCAGGUCUCUGGGCUGACACUGACGCUCAUGCACGAAAGCGUGGGGAGCAAACAGG
This 253-nucleotide ribosomal RNA is filed under the name uncultured bacterium. RNAcentral's name for it is "partial 16S ribosomal RNA". It matches the Rfam family "Bacterial small subunit ribosomal RNA", at positions 524 to 776 of the family's 1533-position model. The record is from RNAcentral.